UGGGGAAUCUUGCGCAAUGGGAGCAAUCCUGACGCAGCAACGCCGCGUGGGUGAUGAAGGUCUUCGGAUCGUAAAGCCCUGUCGGAGGGGAAGAUGCUUUCGCAUGCUAAUAGUAUGCGGAGGUGACGGUACCCUCAAAGGAAGCACCGGCUAACUCUGUGCCAGCAGCCGCGGUAAUACAGAGGGUGCAAGCGUUGUUCGGAAUUAUUGGGCGUAAAGGGAGUGUAGGCGGUUUGUUAAGUCUUCUGUGAAAUCUACGGGCUUAGCCUGUAAAGUGCAGAGGAAACUGGCAAGCUUGAGUGUCGGAGAGGGUAGUGGAAUUCCCGGUGUAGAGGUGAAAUUCGUAGAGAUCGGGAGGAACACCAGUGGCGAAGGCGACUACCUGGCUGACAACUGACGCUGAGACUCGAAAGCAUGGGGAGCAAACAGGAUUAGAUACCCCCGUAGUCC
This 450-nucleotide ribosomal RNA is filed under the name uncultured bacterium. RNAcentral's name for it is "bacterial SSU rRNA". It matches the Rfam family "Bacterial small subunit ribosomal RNA", at positions 355 to 796 of the family's 1533-position model. The record is from RNAcentral.